GUCUACGGGCAUGCUACCCUGAACAAGUCCAAUCCUGUCUGAUCUCAGAAGCUAAACAGGGUCAGGCCUGGUUAGUACUUGAAUGGGAGACCACCUAGAAAGACCGGGUGCCGUAGGCA
Molecule: ribosomal RNA, 119 nt
Organism: Pteropus vampyrus (large flying fox)
Lineage: Eukaryota; Metazoa; Chordata; Mammalia; Chiroptera; Pteropodidae
Source: Ensembl